This 1053-nucleotide ribosomal RNA is filed under the name Cladosporium herbarum. Its description in RNAcentral is "SSU rRNA". It matches the Rfam family "Eukaryotic small subunit ribosomal RNA", at positions 87 to 1148 of the family's 1831-position model. Lineage: Eukaryota; Fungi; Ascomycota; Dothideomycetes; Cladosporiales; Cladosporiaceae. The record is from RNAcentral.
CUGCGAAUGGCUCAUUAAAUCAGUUAUCGUUUAUUUGAUAGUACCUUACUACAUGGAUAACCGUGGUAAUUCUAGAGCUAAUACAUGCUAAAAACCUCGACUUCGGAAGGGGUGUAUUUAUUAGAUAAAAAACCAAUGCCCUUCGGGGCUCCUUGGUGAAUCAUAAUAACUUAACGAAUCGCAUGGCCUUGCGCCGGCGAUGGUUCAUUCAAAUUUCUGCCCUAUCAACUUUCGAUGGUAGGAUAGUGGCCUACCAUGGUAUCAACGGGUAACGGGGAAUUAGGGUUCGACUCCGGAGAGGGAGCCUGAGAAACGGCUACCACAUCCAAGGAAGGCAGCAGGCGCGCAAAUUACCCAAUCCCGACACGGGGAGGUAGUGACAAUAAAUACUGAUACAGGGCUCUUUUGGGUCUUGUAAUUUGAAUGAGUACAAUUUAAAUCCCUUAACGAGGAACAAUUUGAGGGCAAGUCUGGUGCCAGCAGCCGCGGUAAUUCCAGCUCCAAUAGCGUAUAUUAAAGUUGUUGCAGUUAAAAAGCUCGUAGUUGAACCUUGGGCCUGGCUGGCCGGUCCGCCUCACCGCGUGUACUGGUCCGGCCGGGCCUUUCCUUCUGGGGAACCUCAUGCCCUUCACUGGGCGUGUUGGGGAACCAGGACUUUUACUUUGAAAAAAUUAGAGUGUUCAAAGCAGGCCUUUGCUCGAAUACAUUAGCAUGGAAUAAUAGAAUAGGACGUGUGGUUCUAUUUUGUUGGUUUCUAGGACCGCCGUAAUGAUUAAUAGGGAUAGUCGGGGGCAUCAGUAUUCAAUCGUCAGAGGUGAAAUUCUUGGAUUUAUUUAAGACUAACUACUGCGAAAGCAUUUGCCAAGGAUGUUUUCAUUAAUCAGUGAACGAAAGUUAGGGGAUCGAAGACGAUCAGAUACCGUCGUAGUCUUAACCAUAAACUAUGCCGACUAGGGAUCGGACGGUGUUAGUAUUUUGACCCGUUCGGCACCUUACGAGAAAUCAAAGUUUUUGGGUUCUGGGGGGAGUAUGGUCGCAAGGCUGAAACUUAAA